GCUUACGGCCAUACCACCCUGAACACGCCCGAUCUCUUCCGAUCUCGGAAACCAAGCAGGGUCGGGCCUGGUUAGUACUUGGAUGGGAGACUGCUUGGGAAUACCAGGUGUUGUAAGCU
Molecule: ribosomal RNA, 119 nt
Filed under: Anabas testudineus (climbing perch)
Lineage: Eukaryota; Metazoa; Chordata; Actinopteri; Anabantiformes; Anabantidae
Source: RNAcentral